AAACACUCUUUGAUGUCUACUUUACUCGGCUGCUGCUUUAAUUUUGGCACUGAACCACCCUCAGCCCCCUUCCUCCCCACCAGCCUUUCGCUUUUUUCAUCUGAAAUCUAUCGUGGAGGCGGGAGGGAGAAUACUGCUGGGGAUUAAGGGGUUAAAAAGAACAGCUUCGUGAAGAGGAUGGGAAAUCACGCACGCACCAUCUCCCCACGCCAACUCCACCCACCCUGAGUGGAGCAGGGACUUCCUGUGACAGUUCAUUUCCUGGUUGGAUAGAGCUGGAGGAGAGGUGGGGGGUUGGAGUCAGAUCAGCCCUGUAAUGGUCUCUGGUUAUCAGCUGCUGUUCGCUUCCUUUAAGUGGCAAUGUUACCUUAUAACCAUGUUCCAGCCAGGGUUAAUAGAGAGGCUGCAGCAAUGGUAACACUGUGGCCAAGCUGCUAGCUCCAGCCUAUUUGCAGCAAAGCGCUGGGACAGCCGCCCCUUUAGCACCUGGGUGCGGGGGGUUACAUGGGUUUAUUAUCUGCUCAGGAAGGGGUCUAAAUCUGACCAGCUCUGCCUGCCAGGAGGGGAAAAAAGCAUCUGCCCUACUUAAAACAAACAAAUCACCACUAGGAGUGGAUUAUUUUUUAUUGGCUGGAAUCAAGAAGGGUGGAGGGGGGGAUUGGACCUUGACGACAACAACAUCACCUUUAAUCAUAAAUACAAUUAUUUCUCUGGAGAGAUGAAGAAGUUUUUUGACUCUCGUCGAGAGCAGGGUGGUUCUGGCCCUGGUUCUGGUACCAGUGGAGGAAGUGCCAGUAAUACAGUGGCAGGGAGUGGGUACGUUGGCAGGGUGUUCCAUAUUGGGAGAUACCAGGUGACGGUGGAUGAAGUGCUGGCUGAAGGUGGAUUUGCUAUUGUGUUUCUGGUGAGGACUAACAAUGGGAUGAAAUGUGCCCUGAAACGAAUGUACGUCAACAAUGAGCACGAUUUGCAAGUCUGCAAAAGAGAGAUUCAGA
Chelonoidis abingdonii (Abingdon island giant tortoise) is the source of this 995-nucleotide non-coding RNA. NCBI's taxonomy places the organism in Eukaryota, Metazoa, Chordata, Testudines, Testudinidae. The record is from RefSeq and is a predicted model, not a curated record.